Chenopodium quinoa (quinoa) is the source of this 1584-nucleotide long non-coding RNA. RefSeq lists it as uncharacterized. The record is from RefSeq and is a predicted model, not a curated record. The transcript is spliced from 4 exons. Lineage: Eukaryota; Viridiplantae; Streptophyta; Magnoliopsida; Caryophyllales; Amaranthaceae.
UUCUCCAUUUCAAGAUAAACCUAAUGCUUAAAAAAGGUAGAUUAGUUUUCCUAAAAACUUUUUUAUGACUAAAUUUACUAACUACAAAAUUUCCUAUGGAGGUAAAAAAAAAAAAAUGGUGGUUGGUCUCUUUUGUUUUUCUUCUUUCCUCCUAUAUACUACAUUUUUCUUCCCACAACGUUUUAUCAGUGAUGAUAUGAGUUUGAAUAUUCUAAUUUUUUUUUAUAAUUAUACAAAUACUAGUAGACUGAUAUAAUGCUAACAUUUCAUAUAUUUUAUUUUUAUUAUGAAGUUAAUUAGAAUAUUUAGCAUUUUAAUAUCUAAUAAGAGAGAUCAUUAUUUAUUAUGUUUAUUCUUAAAUUAUUUAUAUAGCGCACAUAAGAGCAAAUGUUUUAUUGUUAAAAUCGUGCUUCGCACGGGAUUAACCUAGUUAUUUAAUGAAAUCAUCCUUUCAUAUCCCAUUAAAAAAAAAGCUAAUAUGUUAAAAAAAAAAUGAUAAUUAAAAGGUAGUAUUAAAUUGCAAUAAUUUGGCAAUAUUUUAGAGACAGUCCAAAUCAAAUACUGGACACGAACUAACCGGAUCUCAGUCCAAUAACUCCACCUUGUCCUUUGGGCACAUUAUUAUAUUUUCUGCACUUUUCGUAACUUUCAAUGACAAGUCUUUAAGUUUCCGGUGCGCAAGCGUUACAUCAUUUGCUUGUUUCUGAUACCAGACACUCUGACAUGACUAUGGAGGGCCCUUGACAAUUGGAGAUGAAAAUGCAACAUCUUCAUGGAAUGGUUGAGUAUGACACUUGGACAUGUUUCAGUGCUCUACAUUUGGUAGAUUCAAGUCUUGGUUUAAAGAACUAGGUUUUCUUAGAAACGACCAUUGGAUUUUUGUAAUUUUGAAAAUCAGGUUAGGAAGUCUUGACUAGUUCCUAAAGGAGUAGCUACCGAUCUCAUUGCUUUGGAUGAUAUACACAACAUCGCUGUUUUGAACUUGAGAGACAAAACAUUUGACUCUGUAGUUAUUUUCAAGAUCUGUCACUGAACAUAAAGGAUCCCUACAAACCAUAUGAAGUUGGGUGCAUCACUAGCUGUCUAUCUUCCUGAAAACUAUGAAGCAUCUCGAAAUCAUUUUGAUGUGAUUGAAGAGUAAGAAAAACUGUCAUUUGAUGAUUAGCAGUGACAUUGAGGAUUGUAACAUCUUGUAAUAAGGGCAAAGCAGUAUCUGCGAGUAGAUAUGUCAAAUUGUUGAUUAAUUGCUUAGCUCUAUUGCUCGUGUAAAACCGAUGCUAUCCGCUGAGACAAUUGCCUAGAAAGCUGUGAUUAUGUGAACAGAAGUUGUGAUUCUAUUGCCUAGAUGUAACAAGGUAUGUCACAAAUCUCACAAUAUAUGGUUUUGUUGUCCCUCUCAACUCUUCCAAGGAGGGUGGGGGAUGUUUCCAUUAUGAUAGUUGUGGAUUGAUUAUAUUGAUAUUGAUACUUGAAUCAUGAAUGUUGCCUUCUUUAAUCGAUGUAUCGAAAAUCUGAAUCAUAGAAACAUAAACUAUGAAUUGAUUUAUGGAAACUAGAGUAACCAAGUGAUUUAUGAAUGGCUGA